This 494-nucleotide ribosomal RNA is filed under the name uncultured bacterium. Its description in RNAcentral is "partial 16S ribosomal RNA". It matches the Rfam family "Bacterial small subunit ribosomal RNA", at positions 28 to 507 of the family's 1533-position model. The record is from RNAcentral.
GACGAACGCUGGCGGCGUGCUUAACACAUGCAAGUCGAACGGUGAAGCGCCUUCCUUUUUGGUGGGUGUGGAUGAGUGGCGAACGGGUGCGUAACACGUGAGUAACCUGCCCCCUUCUUCUGGAUAACCGCAUGAAAGCGUGGCUAAUACGGGAUAUUCUGGGUCUGUCGCAUGAUGGGUCUGGGAAAGAUAUUGUUUCGGUGGGGGAUGGGCUCGGGGCCGUUCAGCUUGUGGGUGGGGUGAUGGCCUUCCAAGGCUGGUACGGGUAGCCGGCCUGAGAGGGUGGACGGUCAGACUGGGUCAGAGACACGACCGAGACUCAUACGGGAGGCAGCAGUGGGGAAUAGUGCACAGUGGGGGAAAGCCUGAUGCAGCGACGCCGCGUGAGGGAUGGAGGCGUUCGGGUUGUGAACCUCUUUCGCCAGUGAAGCAGGCCUGCCUCGUUUGUGGGUGGGUUGACGGUAGCUGGAUAAGAAGCGCCGGCUAACUACGUG